Molecule: transfer RNA, 65 nt
Filed under: Lordithon arcuatus
Lineage: Eukaryota; Metazoa; Arthropoda; Insecta; Coleoptera; Staphylinidae
Description: tRNA-Ser
Source: RNAcentral
GAAAUAGAGAUCAAGAUUAAGCUUCUAACUUAUAUCUUUAGCGAUGCAACUUCGUUAAUAUUUCU